Molecule: long non-coding RNA, 499 nt
Organism: Amphibalanus amphitrite
Lineage: Eukaryota; Metazoa; Arthropoda; Thecostraca; Balanomorpha; Balanidae
Exons: 4
Source: RefSeq, a predicted model, not a curated record
CAAAUGUCGGGUUUUUGCCGCGGCGUAGAUUCAGUGAUAAUUGUGGAAAUUUAUUAGUUUCACUGUAAAUUGGGUGAGGUUAUCGAUAAAUUUUGAUAUUGGACCUAGAUCUUUACCGUAGUUCCUCUUGGUUCUCAGGAUGAUCAAACGGCGUGCCGGAUUGAUCGCGUCGGGGGCACAACUGAGAGCUGUGUAAAUCGCCACGCUUCUCCGGUCGGCGGUGGUAUCAGCUGCAUCCAUGGCUCAGGAUGAUCAAACGGCGUGCCGGAUUGAUCGCGUCGGGGGCACAACUGAGAGCUGUGUAAAUCGCCACGCUUCUCCGGUCGGCGGUGGUAUCAGCUGCAUCCAUGGCGGCUGGAAACUAAAGCUUGGUAUACCGGACGCUAGGUGGCGAGCGAGUGCUUAGCUUGUCUGCGUGGUGGCACUGGCAACGGAACGCACAGGGCCGACGUUAGAGAUGUAGGUGGCGCUGGCAGCGUGUCGUUCUGACCAGGGAUCA